Molecule: long non-coding RNA, 3417 nt
Organism: Canis lupus familiaris (dog)
Lineage: Eukaryota; Metazoa; Chordata; Mammalia; Carnivora; Canidae
Exons: 6
Source: RefSeq, a predicted model, not a curated record
UGGAGGAGUUCGUGUCCCGGGUAUGAGGCCUCCGCUCUCUCUCUGGGUCGAGCCGGGAGUGCAGGCGAGCGGGCUGUGCGGUGGGGCAGCUGCGACAGAUAAACGUAUCUACUAAUAGCACCUAAUUCAAGAGAUUGAAGUAUGGAUUAGAACAGCUCGAGGGAUAUUGAGAGAUGAGUUGAGGGGUUGUUCACACGGACCCUGAAGCCAGACUAACAGAAUUUGAAUAGAGAGAGAACACAUGCAAGUGAGGGGAAGGGCAGAGGGAGAGGAAGAGAAUCUUAAGCAGAUGCUUUGCUGAGCGAGAACCCCAACUCGGUGCUGGAUCCCACGAGCCCAAGAUCAUGACCUGAGCCAAAAUCAAGAGCCGACUGAGCCAUCCAGAUGCCUCUGCUUGACAAGUAUUUUUGAGCAGUUUUGCACACCUCUGAACAUGCACUCCUAGCACAGUCCCUGGCACGGGGUCAUCCAAAAAUGCUUUCCGAAUGAAUCAAUGAACGCUGUCAACAAUCAGAAGAGAGGUGUGUUCCUGAGUACGUCUGCACAGGGUUUCUGAUUCAUCGAACCCUUGAAAAUGUGACGUUCUGUUUGGGCAACUCCUGGAGGCGAGGACUUUCUGGCAAGAGCUCUGUGUGUUCCAACUGCGGAUUGAUGACCGGAGAAUGAAGGCCUGUCUUCUCGCCUGCCGCCCACCGCAGCGCUGACGCCGUGCCGCUCCACCAGACAGGUUUCCCUGGGGUUUGUGUUCCUGUGGGGUGACAGUAUUUAUAUUUCACAGGCAAUUCCGUGAGGCUUUUCAAAAACAGAGCAAGCCAGAGCCCAGAGAAGGUGCAUGUGGCUCCUUGCCUGGGAGAGGCUCCCACCCUGAGAGGCGGGGGGACGGGACACGGGGACAGCAGAUUCACACCUCCCUUCCCACCGAGGGACAGAUACCAGUUAUCGACAGCGGGAUUUCACAUAUUUCUUCUCUGGCUUUCCUCGCACGUCUAUCUCUGGACAAGAGCUUACGGUUACAUGGAUUGCCAGAGGCCUCUGUCUGGGAGGUGAUUACGUCGUGAGGGUGGAGCCCUCAUGAAUGGGAACAGCGCCCCUAAUAGAGGAGACCCACAGAGCUUCUCGCCUCUUCUACUGCGAGGUACCUGUGAGCCAGGAAGGGGGCCCUCACCAGACACCGAAUCCACCAGCCCCCUGAUCUCGGACUUCCCACGCCUCCAGAACCGUGAGGAAUACAUGUCUGUUGUUCUAUCAGCCGCCCAUUCCGUGAUCUUCUCUUUAGCAACCCAGACAAAGACUUCCUUCAAAUGGCUCCCCGUUUAUAUCGAAUUUCUUACUGUCCUAGAGCAUGAUAGUCCCUUUCCCAUGUCUUUGUCAUGCAUCUCUCGUCCUUUUUGCCUGGGGUCUCCUUCCUCCUUGUACAGCUGAUUAAAAAGCACUUUAUCUUUUAAAAAUCAGACCAAUAUCAAGUUUUCUAGAAAAAAAAAAGUUUAGCGUGGGGUUUAAUAGCACGGCCUCUGGCUCUGUCCCUUAGCAUCCGUGGGAAUUCUCUGAACUUUAGUCAGCAUUAUCGUAUCUAAACUGUAGCCAGCAGAGCUACCUACACCCUAGGAUGAUUGACAGUAUUAACUAUAAAGGGCUUCCCGUAGAUCCCGACGUAGAUCCUGACGCAGAGCCCACGAGUACAUGCCAUUUUUUUUGUUUCUCCAUGAAGGCGUCCCUGAUUCUUCAAGUACAGUUAACCCCCUUCUCAGAUGAGUUGUAGACACUGUUCGUGUCUUUAUUAUGGAAUUUCUUCUAUUAUCUUGCAAUUAUCUAUUUAAAUACCUCUUUUUAUACCACCUUAUCAACCCGCCCCCCAAAUCUAUUUCCUAUCGGUAAUAGUGCGCACUCUGCCUUCCGGAAACUCUAGGCUACGGCAGUUGGAAUCAGGAAAAGCCCUAGAGAGCAGACUCCGGGAAUUUGUUUUGGAGCUGGAUUAUUCGUGGUCCAACAGCAACACGAGACCCGUACUGGUGGGAAGUGGUUGGGUGAGAACCCCUGGAUGCAGUGGCCUGACAAUUACUGAUGUUUUCACCCAUGAUUAACUGGGAUGGCAUGAAAGGAGUAGGCGAGGCAUAAUUUUGUGCAGAGGCUUUGCUAAAUAAACAGUUUUGGGAAAAUGAUAAUUAUGAGACUACUGGGGUCGAUUAACUACAUUGCAGUUCUUGGCAAAAUAAAGAAAAAAAACCAAAAAGCAGAAAAAUAACAACAAAACAACAACAACAACAACAACAAGGAUAGACUCAGAGCAAUAACCUGCCGGCUUGAAGCGUGAAAGCCAUAAGGGGGCUUCAUGGCUGUUUCGAAGAGCGUGGUAGCCAUGGAGCAGGCUGUAGGAAAUCGGAGGCCAGGGCUGCAGAAUGGACCAAAUGCACAGCCAUGGCACGAGUCUUUAUUAGGACCUUGAUGGAAAGACAGAGGGAGCCUCAGAGCUGGCCCAGGGACAUUGGGGUGGAUGAACCUGAGGAUCUUGAACCCUCAAACUCCCUUGUGUGUCCAGCGUAGGAAGGAGCAGCCGCCUUCCUCUUGCCAGAGGAAGCAUUGUCUCCUGCUUGGAUACCGUGUGAGGCUCUGCCCUGAGACAGGGCCUCCCAGUGCUGUCCUGGGCUCCUCAAGAUCAGCCUGCCUCGCUCCUCGCUUCCUCCGGAACAAUACCCAGGGUCAGAUCCUAGCACUUGUUGAAUGAAGAGGUACUGACUGGGCCCAGGGGAAAAUAGCUUAUACCCACAAGGCCUGCCAGUGGUUGCCUGAUGCAUGCUGGUAGACCUUGGAGAAACCUUUCUGGGAAUGGAAUUACAAGGUAUUGGAGCAGGCAGUGGAGACUCUAAGACUGGAUGCGGAGAACUUUUGAUGUCAGGGCCUUACUCAUGACUCUGGAUUUGGGAUCUGGAGGAGAUACGUGGGUCUUCUGGACAGGCACCUGGAAGCUUAAGGAUGAAGAUGAACUACAGUGAAUGGGCUGGUUGCCCGAACCCCCUUGGAGGUGUCUUACGGGGUGGAUCCCAAGGCUUGGGUAGGUGGAAACGUCUGAGUGGCCCCACUGAGUGGGACCUCGAGAGCGCACCAGCAGGCCAUGUUUCCCAAGGCAGCCCAGGGGAUACACCCUCCACCAAGAGAGUAGGGGGCUCGCUGGUGAGGGGCGCACUGGGUGUUUUUCAGUAGCUCACUGGUGGCUGUUUUAUGUGGGCUUGGUCAGACAGUGAGAGACGUCUCCGUAAAAUGGAGCUCUUUCCCAUAUAAAUGUUGGAUUUUGGGAAUGACAGAAGCCGCUUGGCCACAUCGAAACACCAGAUGCAAGACAGAAAUUAUGAUCAUAAUUGGCAUCAAGGCCAGAGCGGCAACUGGUGUGGCUUGUCCAACAGGGAUAGGAAUGGUAACUAU